GGCUCAGGAUGAACGCUGGCGGUAUGCUUAACACAUGCAAGUCGAACGGAAUGCUUAGGCAUUUAGUGGCGGACGGGUGAGUAACGCGUGAGAAUUUGGCUUCAGGUCGGGGACAACAGUUGGAAACGACUGCUAAUACCGGAUAUGCCGAAAGGUGAAAGGCUUGCUGCCUGAAGAUAAGCUCGCGUCUGAUUAGCUAGUUGGUAGUGUAAGGGACUACCAAGGCGACGAUCAGUAGCUGGUCUGAGAGGAUGAUCAGCCACACUGGGACUGAGACGCGGCCCAGACUCCUACGGGAGGCAGCAGUGGGGAAUUUUCCGCAAUGGGCGAAAGCCUGACGGAGCAAUACCGCGUGAGGGAGGAAGGCUCUUGGGUCGUAAACCUCUUUUCUCAAGGAAGAAAAAAAUGACGGUACUUGAGGAAUAAGCAUCGGCUAACUCCGUGCCAGCAGCCGCGGUAAUACGGAGGAUGCAAGCGUUAUCCGGAAUGAUUGGGCGUAAAGGGUCCGCAGGUGGUACUGUAAGUCUGCUGUUAAAGAGUCUGGCUCAACCAGAUAAAAGCAGUGGAAACUACAGAACUAGAGUGCGUUCGGGGCAGAAGGAAUUCCUGGUGUAGCGGUGAAAUGCGUAGAUAUCAGGAAGAACACCGGUGGCGAAAGCGUUCUGCUAGGCCGCAACUGACACUGAGGGACGAAAGCUAGGGGAGCGAAUGGGAUUAGAUACCCCAGUAGUCCUAGCCGUAAACGAUGGAUACUAGGCGUGGCUUGUAUCGACCCGAGCCGUGCCGGAGCUAACGCGUUAAGUAUCCCGCCUGGGGAGUACGCACGCAAGUGUGAAACUC
RNAcentral lists this ribosomal RNA (840 nucleotides) under uncultured bacterium. RNAcentral's name for it is "bacterial SSU rRNA". It matches the Rfam family "Bacterial small subunit ribosomal RNA", at positions 21 to 902 of the family's 1533-position model. The record is from RNAcentral.